This 97-nucleotide Y RNA is filed under the name Cavia aperea (Brazilian guinea pig). Its description in RNAcentral is "Y RNA (ENSCAPG00000001758.1)". It matches the Rfam family "Y RNA". From Rfam's summary of the family: Y RNAs are components of the Ro ribonucleoprotein particle (Ro RNP), in association with Ro60 and La proteins. The Y RNAs and Ro60 and La proteins are well conserved, but the function of the Ro RNP is not known. Lineage: Eukaryota; Metazoa; Chordata; Mammalia; Rodentia; Caviidae. The record is from RNAcentral.
GGCUGGUCUGAUGGCAGUGGGUUAUCAGAACUUAAUAACAUUAGUGUCACUAAAGUUGGUAUACCACCCCCCCACUGCUAAAUUUGACUGACUUUAA